GAAUGGCCAAGACCGGUAUCUUAACUCCUCUUCUUGACAUUUUCCGCUGAUGGCAAAAGAACCACCACCAGCACCGCCACUUCCUUCCACAAAAGCAUAGUACCUGAGCAAAAUUGUUAUAGUGAAAACAAACCACUCCAAGCAAAAGAUCGACACAAAAAGCCCACCAGCCUGCUUCAAUAUCAUAGCUCCAUCUUCUUCCUUAGCAUAAGAUUUCAAGUGCCCUAAGAAUUCUUCAGUCAGUGUAGAUGUGGUGAUGAAGCUAUCAAAGACGACACAGAAGAUGGUGAGUAUGUGGAAGAGAAUGAGGAAGAAGCCACAGAGAGACAGAGAGAUUGUGAGGAAGAUGCAACUGGAGGCUGCACUCAGUAAGAUGUAGUUGCAUAUUAAGAACUUGUGGACAGUGACGGAACCACGAUUUGUUCAGUCGGAGCAAACUACAUCCUAUUUAUAGUAAAAAAAAUAAGGUCAAUUAACUCAAAGGUC
RNAcentral lists this long non-coding RNA (486 nucleotides) under Manihot esculenta (cassava). Its description in RNAcentral is "long non-coding RNA (MESC_LNC008692)". The record is from RNAcentral. Lineage: Eukaryota; Viridiplantae; Streptophyta; Magnoliopsida; Malpighiales; Euphorbiaceae.